RNAcentral lists this transfer RNA (74 nucleotides) under Aphanothece sp. CMT-3BRIN-NPC111. RNAcentral's name for it is "tRNA-Cys". It matches the Rfam family "tRNA". Rfam says of the family: Transfer RNA (tRNA) molecules are approximately 80 nucleotides in length. Their secondary structure includes four short double-helical elements and three loops (D, anti-codon, and T loops). The record is from RNAcentral. Lineage: Bacteria; Bacillati; Cyanobacteriota; Cyanophyceae; Chroococcales; Aphanothecaceae.
GGUCGAGUGUCCGAGUGGUUUAAGGAGGGAACCUGCAAAGUUCUUAUUCGUGGGUUCAAAUCCCACCUCGACCU